This 253-nucleotide ribosomal RNA is filed under the name uncultured bacterium. RNAcentral describes it as "partial 16S ribosomal RNA". It matches the Rfam family "Bacterial small subunit ribosomal RNA", at positions 524 to 776 of the family's 1533-position model. The record is from RNAcentral.
UACGUAGGGACCGAGCGUUGUCCGGAAUCAUUGGGCGUAAAGAGCGUGUAGGCGGCUUGCUAAGUCUUGCGUGAAAUCUCGGGGCUCAACCCCGAGCGGUCGUGGGAAACUGGCAGGCUAGAGUGCGGGAGAGGAGAAUGGAAUUCCUGGUGUAGCGGUGAAAUGCGCAGAUAUCAGGAGGAACACCGGUGGCGAAGGCGGUUCUUUGGGCCUUACCUGACACUGAGGAGCGAAAGCGUGGGGAGCGAACAGG